This 226-nucleotide ribosomal RNA is filed under the name uncultured bacterium. Its description in RNAcentral is "partial 16S ribosomal RNA". It matches the Rfam family "Bacterial small subunit ribosomal RNA", at positions 524 to 750 of the family's 1533-position model. The record is from RNAcentral.
UACGAAGGGGGCUAGCGUUGCUCGGAAUCACUGGGCGUAAAGCGCACGUAGGCGGCUUCUUAAGUCAGGGGUGAAAUCCUGGAGCUCAACUCCAGAACUGCCUUUGAUACUGAGAGCUUGAGUUCGGGAGAGGUGAGUGGAACUGCGAGUGUAGAGGUGAAAUUCGUAGAUAUUCGCAAGAACACCAGUGGCGAAGGCGGCUCACUGGCCCGAUACUGACGCUGAG